This is a long non-coding RNA of Oncorhynchus tshawytscha (Chinook salmon), 1443 nucleotides long. NCBI's taxonomy places the organism in Eukaryota, Metazoa, Chordata, Actinopteri, Salmoniformes, Salmonidae. The record is from Ensembl.
ACAGACAGACAGACAGACACGCAGACAGGCAGACAGACAGGCAGACAGGGCAGACACACAGACAGGCAGACACGCAGGCAGGUAGACACGCAGAGGCAGACACGCAGACAGGCAGACACGCAGGCAGGUAGACACGCAGACAGGCAGACACGCAGACAGGCAGACACGCAGACAGGUAGACAGGCAGACACGCAGACAAGCAGACACGCAGACAGGUAGACAGGCAGACAGCCGGACACGCGGACAGGUAGACAGGCGGGCACGGAGACUGACGGACACGCAGACACACAGACAGGCCUCCAGAGUGGCGCCGUGGUCUAAGGCACUGCAUCACAGUGCUAGCUGUGUCACUAGAGAUUCUGGGUUCCAGUCCAGGCUCUGUUGCAGCUGGCCGGCAGGGAUGUCCUUGUUCCAUAGCGCACUAGCGACUCCUGGGUGCAGUGCAUGGUCGCCAGGUGUACAUUGUUUCCUCCAACACAUUGGUGCGGCUGGCUUCCGGGUUAAGUGGGCAUUGUGUCAAGAAGCAGUGCGGCUUGGUUGGGUUGUGUUUCGGAGGACGCACGGCUCUCGACCUUCACCUCACCCGAGUCCGUAUGGGAGUUGCAGCGAUGAGACAAGACUGUAACUACCAAUUGGAUACCACGAAAAGGGGGUAAAAAAUAUAUAUGUUAAAAGGCAGGCAGAUAGAUGGACAGGCAGGCGGGCAGGCAGGUAGACAUUCAUCAUAUAUGGCUUCCUCUAUGUAUUAACUGCAUGUUUCUAUAGCAGACCACAGACAGACAGGCAGGCAGACAGACAGGCAGACAGAUAGGCAGACAGACAGACAGGCAGACAGAUAGGCAGACAGAUAGGCAGAUAGAUGGAUGGACAGAUGGAGAGGAAGAUAUGCAGACAGGCAGAUAAACGAACAGACAGACGGACGGACGGGCAGGCAGGCAGAUAGAUGGACAGACAGAUAGACAGGCAGACAGGCAGAUAUGCAGACAGACAGGAAAAAUUUCAGGCAGACAGACAGAGACAGACAGACAGAUUCUUCUUGGACCUCGCUCAUCAACAAACUGUUUUCUGAGAUACUGAAUUUGGCGCGCUUGGCACAUAGUUUUGCCCAUUCUAACAUUCAGUUGAACAGUAACUGAAUGCCUCGAUGCCUGCUUUAUAUAGCAAGACACAGCCACACAACUCACUGUCUGUAACCCAGUUUUGUGAAAUGGGCGGCGGACCUAAUAAACUGGCCGGAGAGUGUAUAUCAUCGAUACAUGAAUAUAACAGUAUAUAUAGCAUGUUAACAUGGGGAUAUAUACAGUAUCAUCUAUACAUGAAGAUAACAGUAUACAGUAUAUGGGUCGAGUGUUGGUUUCUUGAGGAGAGGAGCGACUCGGGCCAUCUUGAAGUCAGUGGUCAGGGAUGAGUUGAUGAGUGAAGUGAGGAAGGGGAGGUCACCAG